RNAcentral lists this small RNA (39 nucleotides) under Arabidopsis thaliana (thale cress). Its description in RNAcentral is "ATSL072650". The record is from RNAcentral. Lineage: Eukaryota; Viridiplantae; Streptophyta; Magnoliopsida; Brassicales; Brassicaceae.
AAAAAAAAACGAAAAAAAAUCUAUGGCUGCAAAAUCAUG